AUUCUGAACAGCAGUGGCACAAACCUCGUACUCAGGGCUUCAAACCUGGUCCGACCAAUCAGAUGGUGAUAGUAUCAGCAAGACCCAAAGAAAGAAGACUGGCUGAAGGAAUCCGCACACAGCUUGUUAACAGUGAGGCACAAGAGAAGGCAUAGAUGCAGUGAGUACAUAGUACAUG
Long non-coding RNA from Melanotaenia boesemani (Boeseman's rainbowfish), 178 nucleotides. RefSeq lists it as uncharacterized. Lineage: Eukaryota; Metazoa; Chordata; Actinopteri; Atheriniformes; Melanotaeniidae. The transcript is spliced from 3 exons. The record is from RefSeq and is a predicted model, not a curated record.